GGAGAGGUGCCAGAGUGGCCGAUUGGGCCGGUCUCGAAAACCGGAGUAGGGGCAACCCUACCGUGGGUUCGAAUCCCACCCUCUCCGCCA
RNAcentral lists this transfer RNA (90 nucleotides) under Muricoccus roseus. RNAcentral's name for it is "Roseomonas rosea tRNA_Ser_CGA". It matches the Rfam family "tRNA". From Rfam's summary of the family: Transfer RNA (tRNA) molecules are approximately 80 nucleotides in length. The record is from RNAcentral. Lineage: Bacteria; Pseudomonadati; Pseudomonadota; Alphaproteobacteria; Acetobacterales; Roseomonadaceae. RNAcentral also lists the same sequence under 15 other names.